This 510-nucleotide ribosomal RNA is filed under the name uncultured bacterium. Its description in RNAcentral is "partial 16S ribosomal RNA". It matches the Rfam family "Bacterial small subunit ribosomal RNA", at positions 28 to 507 of the family's 1533-position model. The record is from RNAcentral.
GACGAACGCUGGCGGCGUGCUUAACACAUGCAAGUCGAACGAAGAGCGAUGGAAGCUUGCUUCUAUCAAUCUUAGUGGCGAACGGGUGAGUAACGCGUAAUCAACCUGCCCUUCAGAGGGGGACAACAGUUGGAAACGACUGCUAAUACCGCAUACGAUCUAAUCUCGGCAUCGAGGAUAGAUGAAAGGUGGCCUCUACAUGUAAGCUAUCACUGAAGGAGGGGAUUGCGUCUGAUUAGCUAGUUGGAGGGGUAACGGCCCACCAAGGCGAUGAUCAGUAGCCGGUCUGAGAGGAUGAACGGCCACAUUGGGACUGAGACACGGCCCAGACUCCUACGGGAGGCAGCAGUGGGGAAUCUUCCGAAAUGGACGAAAGUCUGACGGAGCAACGCCGCGUGAGCGAUGACGGCCUUCGGGUUGUAAAGCUCUGUUAAUCGGGACGAAAGGCCUUCUUGCGAAUAGUGAGAAGGAUUGACGGUACCGGAAUAGAAAGCCACGGCUAACUACGUG